GCCAGGCAAGCAUCUGAACUGCGAAAACACCUGGGAAGCCGACGUCCUCCGGAGCCGUGUGCGCAGGUUCGAAUCCUGCCGGGGGCA
This 87-nucleotide transfer RNA is filed under the name Streptomyces sp. Qhu-G9. RNAcentral describes it as "tRNA-Arg". The record is from RNAcentral. Lineage: Bacteria; Bacillati; Actinomycetota; Actinomycetes; Kitasatosporales; Streptomycetaceae.